UGCCAGCCACACCCAUAGGACAGAGCC
RNAcentral lists this non-coding RNA (27 nucleotides) under Homo sapiens (human). Lineage: Eukaryota; Metazoa; Chordata; Mammalia; Primates; Hominidae. The record is from RNAcentral.